GCGUGACCUAAUACAUGCCAAGUCGAGCGAGCUUGCCUAGAUGAUUUUAGUGCUUGACACUAAAUGAAACUAGAUACAAGCGAGCGGCGGACGGGUGAGUAACACGUGGGUAACCUGCCCAAGAGACUGGGAUAACACCUGGAAACAGAUGCUAAUACCGGAUAACAACACUAGACGCAUGUCUAGAGUUUGAAAGAUGGUUCUGCUAUCACUCUUGGAUGGACCUGCGGUGCAUUAGCUAGUUGGUAAGGUAACGGCUUACCAAGGCAAUGAUGCAUAGCCGAGUUGAGAGACUGAUCGGCCACAUUGGGACUGAGACACGGCCCAAACUCCUACGGGAGGCAGCAGUAGGGAAUCUUCCACAAUGGACGAAAGUCUGAUGGAGCAACGCCGCGUGAGUGAAGAAGGGUUUCGGCUCGUAAAGCUCUGUCAGCAGGGAAGAAAAUGACGGUACCUGAGUAAGAAGCCCCGGCUAACUACGUGCC
RNAcentral lists this ribosomal RNA (485 nucleotides) under uncultured bacterium. Its description in RNAcentral is "bacterial SSU rRNA". It matches the Rfam family "Bacterial small subunit ribosomal RNA", at positions 42 to 509 of the family's 1533-position model. The record is from RNAcentral.